UGGGCUGUUGCAUUUUUGGCUUGCUGAAUUAUUGUAACGACGACGUUUUGGAACGCUGAAGCUGCUUUGGGAGUAAAGCUCGAAGACAUGCUUCUUUUGGAGAAAAGCACUCCUUCGUGUUAGGGUUCAAGCGAGAGAGAAAGAGAAGAGGAAGCCAUGGCUUGUGCGAUAGAAACCAACACUUGCUGACUCAAAGCACGUCACCGGAGGAGGUUGAAUCGGUAGAGGAAAUGAAGAAGGUGAUCGGAGGGACGAGAUGCGAGCUCGUGAGCAAAGUAAAGAGGAUUGUCGGAUUGAGAAGUGUAAAGCGUCGCGAGGAAUAUUCCUUUUCCCUUUUCUCCUCUUUCAUUUUCUUCAACCCUAUAUAAAGAGGGUUCCUUCUGCAAUAUAGAACACAAAUACUCUUUAGCGUUUUACAUUCAGUUUUAGAUUUAGGGUAUUUACGCUUUCGUAGACGUAGAGUUCUCGGCUGCCGAAUUUCGUCCAUAGGCUUGCGAGGGUCACAGACCGCAAGUGGUUUGGUCAUAAACAGACGAGGUAAAAAAGUAGGUAUUAUGCCUCGGUUAUGAACUGCGACAAAAGUGGUAACACAGUUGAAGCAAUUAUAGGAGGAUCUGUGAUCGAGAUUGACAAAAAUGCAACUGCAAGAAGCAAAAUCAGAGCAACAAAACGUGGUUUUGGCACUUCUUUUGCUUCACCAAAUAUUUGUGGCAUGAGAGUCUCCUUAACAGCAACCUAGAACAACAACCCAGAACCCAGAACAGUAACCCAGAACCCAAAACAGCAACCCAGAACUCAAAACAGCAACCCAGAACCACCAUAAUAGCAACCCAAAACCCAGAACAGUAACCUAGAACCACCAUAACAACAACCCAGAACCCAAUUUGAUUUCUACGCGAGUUCGUCCUCCUCAGUAAACGCAACCAGAAAGCACAUCGUGCCUCCAUGAUUCAAUCUUCUCCACCCCAACCUGCACACAGAACCCAGAAACUAAAAAAUCGCAGAAACCAAACUCAAAAAUCCUUUUAAUGGUGCCUACCUCCAUUGACGCGAACGAGUUCUUUUCUUCCUGGCAAGACGUGGGCUGGUUUCCCCCUUUCUCCUUUUUGAAGAACCCUAAUAUGGAUGUUAGACGCGGGCUGGAGACACAACUCGAGAGGACGGUAGGAGAGAAAACGAAGAGGGUGAGGGAGAUUGAGAAAUUCUCGCCGUCGCCGCGUCCUCGCCGCCACCGCGUCCACCAUCGUUUCUCUCUCGCCGCAUCGUCGUCGCACAUCGCAAGAGAAGAGGAGAGGUGCUAGGUUUUUGGGGAAAAGUUUUUACUACCCAGAGGCUAGGUUUAUCUGGAUUUAAGCUCCCACAGUCCCACAGUUCAAUAUAGUAUUUUUAAAAUUACAAGAUUGCCAUCAUGUUUUGUUGCUCUCAUUCCAUCCAACUACUGUAUUCAAUUCCAACAAGCGUGGAUUCGGUUCCACCAGAGUUUUACCACACUCACUCUCUGCUACAAGAGUGGGACCCAAACCUAAUCAUGCAACAUAUCUUCACCAUCAAAUCAGUUAUCCCAAGGUUCACCUACUCCUUCACAUCUCAUUUUGUUACCAUUUAUCAGGUCCAAUCAAUAGCUGCCCCAGUUCACUAAAUUCACCAAAACACAUAAUUUUUCACUUCAAUGAUCUUCAUCACCAUUUGUACCUGCAAGGAAAAGAAAUGGUGGAGUGAUUGAUGUGUGUGAUGUCUUAUUAGGUUUUGUUCUUGGAAAUAUUUUAUUAGAUUUUAUUCUUUGUUUUUGGUCGCAGAGAUUGAUGUCUCUGAUGGUGGUGAAUUUUAUAUGC
Vigna angularis (adzuki bean) is the source of this 1832-nucleotide long non-coding RNA. RefSeq lists it as uncharacterized. Lineage: Eukaryota; Viridiplantae; Streptophyta; Magnoliopsida; Fabales; Fabaceae. The record is from RefSeq and is a predicted model, not a curated record. The transcript has 4 exons.